This 468-nucleotide ribosomal RNA is filed under the name uncultured bacterium. Its description in RNAcentral is "partial 16S ribosomal RNA". It matches the Rfam family "Bacterial small subunit ribosomal RNA", at positions 28 to 507 of the family's 1533-position model. The record is from RNAcentral.
GACGAACGCUGGCGGCGUGCUUAACACAUGCAAGUCGAACGGAAAGGCCCUGCUUUUGUGGGGUGCUCGAGUGGCGAACGGGUGAGUAACACGUGAGUAACCUGCCCUUGACUUUGGGAUAACUUCAGGAAACUGGGGCUAAUACCGGAUAGGAGCUCCUGCUGCAUGGUGGGGGUUGGAAGGUUUCGGCGGUUGGGGAUGGACUCGCGGCUUAUCAGCUUGUUGGUGGGGUAGUGGCUUACCAAGGCUUUGACGGGUAGCCGGCCUGAGAGGGUGACCGGCCACAUUGGGACUGGGAUACCGCCCAGACUCCUACGGGAGGCAGCAGUGGGGAAUAUUGCACAAUGGGCGGAAGCCUGAUGCAGCAACGCCGCGUGCGGGAUGACGGCCUUCGGGUUGUAAACCGCUUUCGCCUGUGACGAAGCGUGAGUGACGGUAAUGGGUAAAGAAGCACCGGCUAACUACGUG